Non-coding RNA from Eubacterium sp. CAG:786, 119 nucleotides. Lineage: Bacteria; Bacillati; Bacillota; Clostridia; Eubacteriales; Eubacteriaceae. The record is from Rfam.
UAUCUGUUUCGGGGCGGAGUGAAAUUCUCCACCGGCGGUGAAAGUCCGCGAGCCUUGCGAGAGGUUGAACCGGUGCAAUUCCGGUACCGACGGUAUAGUCCGGAUGAAAGAACCAGAAA